RNAcentral lists this ribosomal RNA (503 nucleotides) under Bacillus licheniformis. RNAcentral's name for it is "bacterial SSU rRNA". It matches the Rfam family "Bacterial small subunit ribosomal RNA", at positions 40 to 525 of the family's 1533-position model. Lineage: Bacteria; Bacillati; Bacillota; Bacilli; Caryophanales; Bacillaceae. The record is from RNAcentral.
CGGCGUGCCUAAUACAUGCAAGUCGAGCGGACCGACGGGAGCUUGCUCCCUUAGGUCAGCGGCGGACGGGUGAGUAACACGUGGGUAACCUGCCUGUAAGACUGGGAUAACUCCGGGAAACCGGGGCUAAUACCGGAUGCUUGAUUGAACCGCAUGGUUCAAUUAUAAAAGGUGGCUUUUAGCUACCACUUACAGAUGGACCCGCGGCGCAUUAGCUAGUUGGUGAGGUAACGGCUCACCAAGGCGACGAUGCGUAGCCGACCUGAGAGGGUGAUCGGCCACACUGGGACUGAGACACGGCCCAAACUCCUACGGGAGGCAGCAGUAGGGAAUCUUCCGCAAUGGACGAAAGUCUGACGGAGCAACGCCGCGUGAGUGAUGAAGGUUUUCGGAUCGUAAAACUCUGUUGUUAGGGAAGAACAAGUACCGUUCGAAUAGGGCGGUACCUUGACGGUACCUAACCAGAAAGCCACGGCUAACUACGUGCCAGCAGCCCGGUAAAU